RNAcentral lists this ribosomal RNA (406 nucleotides) under uncultured bacterium. RNAcentral's name for it is "partial 16S ribosomal RNA". It matches the Rfam family "Bacterial small subunit ribosomal RNA", at positions 29 to 526 of the family's 1533-position model. The record is from RNAcentral.
AUUGAACGCUGGCGGCAGGCUUAACACAUGCAAGUCGAGCGAGCGGCGGACGGGUGAGUAAUGUCUGGGCAACUGCCUGAUGGAGGGGGAUCACUACUGGAAACGGUAGCUAAUACCGCAUACCAUCAGAUGUGCCCACUGGGGAUUAGCUAGUAGGUGGGGUAAUGGCUCACCUAGGCGAAGAUCCCUAGCUGGGCUGAGAGGAUGACCAGCCAAACUGGAACUGAGACACGGGCCAGACUCCGACGGGAGGCAGCAGUGGGGAAUAUUGCACAAUGGGCGAAAGCCUGAUGCAGCCAUGCCGCGUGUGUGAAGAAGGCCUUCGGGUUGUAAAGCACUGUCAGCGAGGAGGCGUUACUCGCAGAAGAAGCACCGGCUAACUCCGUGCCAGCAGCCGCGGUAAUAC